UACGUAGGGUGCGAGCGUUAAUCGGAAUUACUGGGCGUAAAGCGUGCGCAGGCGGUUCGUUGUGUCCGUCGUGAAAGCCCCGGGCUUAACCUGGGAACUGCGAUGGAAACUAGCGAGCUGGAGUGUGGCAGAGGGGGGUGGAAUUCCGCGUGUAGCAGUGAAAUGCGUAGAGAUGCGGAGGAACACCGAUGGCGGAAGGCAGCCCCCUGGGUUAACACUGACGCUCAGGCACGAAAGCGUGGGGAGCAAACAGG
RNAcentral lists this ribosomal RNA (254 nucleotides) under uncultured bacterium. Its description in RNAcentral is "partial 16S ribosomal RNA". It matches the Rfam family "Bacterial small subunit ribosomal RNA", at positions 524 to 776 of the family's 1533-position model. The record is from RNAcentral.